CCAUAGGACAGCAGCUUCUUUUUAUUUCACUUUCAACUCAUUGAAGAAAGAGUUUGUCAAGCAAAGCCCUAAAUGAAACACUUAAGCAAUAUUUAACUGAGUUUUUUCUCUAAUUUUCCUACUAUUUUUUUCUGAUUUUGGAGUAGAUGUAAUCUGAUCCUGACAGCUAUUUUGAGAGAGAUUCUCAGUGCUCUUUAAUCAAGAGCAAGAAAAUAGAAAAGUGUCAGAGAAACACAUGAAGAUUAGGAGAAACUGGACGGAGCUAUAAAUGCUAUUCCACUUCAAGAAUUGCCAUGGACUGUAAAGCAGCUGAUGAACAUUUUCGAAAUACACCAAGCAUGAGGCUAUCCAUAAGAAACCCAUCAAACAGUGGCGCUGGCAGCUGCUGGAGGUGCAGAAGACAAAGGCUGUGCAGUCUAUGCCCUCGGGAGCCCAAACCAAACAUCUGACCUGAGUUUCUCAGGACCAGGGGGAAGCAGAGCCAUGAGAUUGAAAAAGAGGGGCAAUUCUUCUACAUGCUCUCAUCUGUGUGAGUAUGGCUAAAUUUCUGUUCAUGUAC
RNAcentral lists this long non-coding RNA (559 nucleotides) under Taeniopygia guttata (zebra finch). RNAcentral's name for it is "lncRNA (ENSTGUG00000024290.1)". The record is from RNAcentral. Lineage: Eukaryota; Metazoa; Chordata; Aves; Passeriformes; Estrildidae.